RNAcentral lists this long non-coding RNA (1206 nucleotides) under Mus musculus (house mouse). RNAcentral's name for it is "RIKEN cDNA 1810064F22 gene (ENSMUSG00000090925.4)". The record is from RNAcentral. Lineage: Eukaryota; Metazoa; Chordata; Mammalia; Rodentia; Muridae.
UUAUGUGUGCCCCAGGAUGGCAGGACUAGAUCCCAGGCUCACAACUGUGGAGGUACAAAAGAUUUUUUCAGUGCUGCUUGAGGACCUGAGACCACAAGAAAUGUUUAUUGGAAGCCCCAAAGAGAUUUAAUUACAGUAGUGAGGAAUUCAACAGGUCCUGGCCUGUUUAUUUCUAGUUGCAAAGGCAAUGAACAUUAUUUUUGUCAUGGCUUUAGUUGUGCCUCAAUUGUACUGUCUGGGUCCUUGACAGGAGUAGGAUCUUGUGUAAGGUUUUUUGGUUUGGUUUGGUUUGGUUUGGUUUGGUUUGGUUUGGUUUGGUUUUUUUUGUAACCCUAUUGUAGUGAAUGUCACUGAGUCUGGCAAAAAGGUUAGAGAAGACUGGUUUAAAGGAAGGACUUGGGGAUUUAGAAUAUAAAAAACUGGUUAUGAUGAAGGAUUACUCUUUAAGCUUAAAAUUGCACCUAUGCCUUUUUCAGUAGGACCUAAAAAGAUCAUAAAUAAGGCCAAAAAGAGGAACAACAGAGAUAAAGAGAAGAAUAAUGCUAAUAGAAAUAGGAGUAAUACUGCUUUCUUACUUUCUUCUCCAGGGUCUGGUACCCCUCAUAGUCCUACAGUUGCCACCACUACCUUUUCUACAUUUGCUACUCAGCUAACAGAAUUAAUGGUAGGCAGGUUUCAUAUGCUUAAUGAUACUUAUCCUAAUAUCACUAACUCUUGUUGGCUUUGCUAUGAUAUAGCUCCUCCUUACUAUGAAAGUAUUGCUUAUUAUCCAGCAAUGUUUCUUAUUCUAAUAGCUCUUGUGGUUUUCGAUGGAAACAGAAAUCUAGCAUAGGUCUUCCUCUACAUGAAGUUUCUGGACUAUGUACCUGCAUAGUGAAAAAUUCAUAAAGAUAAAAGACAGAGUUUAUGUAAUCAAAUGCUUACUGUUUCCACCUCUUCAUCUUAUUUUAUUUCUCCAAAAGAGGGAUAGUGAGUUUGUUCCAUAGGUCUUACCCCCUGCAUUCACACACAAGUAUUUGAUAGCUCCAAAGAUUUUUGUGUGUUGGUUCAACUUAUUCCUAGACUCAUUUAUCAUCCUUAUGAGGUGCUCUUGGAUCAUUGGGAUGGAGACUUCUCUCGAUCCAAGAGAGAACUUGCUAUUGCAUUAACUAUUUCAGUACUGAUGGGGCUCAGUAUGGGAGGAGCAGCUACGGGCACUUCUGCCUU